This 627-nucleotide ribosomal RNA is filed under the name Penicillium fagi. RNAcentral describes it as "eukaryotic LSU rRNA". It matches the Rfam family "Eukaryotic large subunit ribosomal RNA", at positions 1 to 649 of the family's 3401-position model. Lineage: Eukaryota; Fungi; Ascomycota; Eurotiomycetes; Eurotiales; Aspergillaceae. The record is from RNAcentral.
CGGAUCAGGUAGGGAUACCCGCUGAACUUAAGCAUAUCAAUAAGCGGAGGAAAAGAAACCAACAGGGAUUGCCUCAGUAACGGCGAGUGAAGCGGCAAGAGCUCAAAUUUGAAAGCUGGCUCCUUCGGGGUCCGCAUUGUAAUUUGCAGAGGAUGCUUCGGGAGUGGCCCCCAUCUAAGUGCUCUGGAACGGGCCGUCAUAGAGGGUGAGAAUCCCGUAUGGGAUGGGGUGUCCGCGACCAUGUGAAGCUCCUUCGACGAGUCGAGUUGUUUGGGAAUGCAGCUCUAAAUGGGUGGUAAAUUUCAUCUAAAGCUAAAUAUUGGCCGGAGACCGAUAGCGCACAAGUAGAGUGAUCGAAAGAUGAAAAGCACUUUGAAAAGAGAGUUAAAAAGCACGUGAAAUUGUUGAAAGGGAAGCGCUUGCGACCAGACUCGCCUACGGGGUUCAGCCGGUAUUCGUACCGGUGUACUUCCCCGUGGGCGGGCCAGCGUCGGUUUGGGCGGCCGGUCAAAGGCCCUCGGAAUGUAACGCCUCUCGGGGCGUCUUAUAGCCGAGGGUGCCAUGCGGCCAGCCCGGACCGAGGAACGCGCUUCGGCACGGACGCUGGCAUAAUGGUCGUAAGCGACC